RNAcentral lists this unclassified non-coding RNA (401 nucleotides) under Hevea brasiliensis (rubber tree). Lineage: Eukaryota; Viridiplantae; Streptophyta; Magnoliopsida; Malpighiales; Euphorbiaceae. The record is from RNAcentral.
CAAGAACCCAUUUUCAGCUUCCCCUGACAAUACCCUUUUGACCCUUUUGCAGCAGAGAAAGACUGAUGAAGCUUGGUUGCACUACACCAAGAAUCUUGAUCAACAACUCCCAAACCCCACUUGUCUUAGUCGUUUAGUUUCUCAAUUAUCUUACCAAAACUCCACUAUCAGCCUCCGUCGUGCUCAGUCAAUCAUCCAACGCCUCCGCCAUGAACGGCAGCUUCACCGCCUCGACGCGAAUUCACUUGGACUUCUUGCUAGUGCUGCAGCUAAAGGUGGACAUGUUCUUUAUGCUGCUUCUAUUAUUAAGUCAAUGUUGAAAUCUGGUUAUUUACCUCAUGUUAAAGCUUGGAGUUCUGUUGUUAGUCGUCUUGCGUCCUCUGGUGAUGAUGGUCCAAUUG